This 248-nucleotide ribosomal RNA is filed under the name uncultured Lachnospiraceae bacterium. RNAcentral describes it as "partial 16S ribosomal RNA". It matches the Rfam family "Bacterial small subunit ribosomal RNA", at positions 524 to 771 of the family's 1533-position model. The record is from RNAcentral. Lineage: Bacteria; Bacillati; Bacillota; Clostridia; Lachnospirales; Lachnospiraceae.
UACGUAGGGGGCAAGCGUUAUCCGGAUUUACUGGGUGUAAAGGGAGCGUAGACGGCGGUACAAGUCUGAAGUGAAAGGCAUGGGCUCAACCUGUGGACUGCUUUGGAAACUGUAGUGCUAGAGUGUCGGAGAGGCAAGUGGAAUUCCUAGUGUAGCGGUGAAAUGCGUAGAUAUUAGGAGGAACACCAGUGGCGAAGGCGGCUUGCUGGACGAUGACUGACGUUGAGGCUCGAAAGCGUGGGGAGCAA